This is a long non-coding RNA of Pyrus x bretschneideri (Chinese white pear), 613 nucleotides long. RefSeq lists it as uncharacterized. Lineage: Eukaryota; Viridiplantae; Streptophyta; Magnoliopsida; Rosales; Rosaceae. The record is from RefSeq and is a predicted model, not a curated record. The transcript is spliced from 3 exons.
AAGAAGGUCAAACUUCUAGAUUAUCUGUUCAAGUUGGAAAACAAUGAAACUCGAUUUCGAAAUGUCGAAAAUAAUAAAAUUCUAUAGAUUUUGGUCAUCCUUCUCUUUCGUAUAAGUAGCCGACGUUAAAUCAAUCAUCAUCUGCACACACAAAAACAAAAAAAAACAAAAUUUGCAAAGAGUAAAAGAAGAGAUUAGGGUUUGUAGACAGGGACGAAGUAAAGAAGAACACACAGGAGAGAAAUGUACGUCAUGUCUUUAUAGACAAGUUGCAUUGAGAAAAUUAAUCUCUAUCAAGUAUUCAAGUGGAGUUAUGAUUCCAGCCCUGCAAGUAUUACACUGACUUCCAACGUGACCAGUUACUUCUUCUGCACGGUAGAUACUCACUGCAGUGAUCAACAUUUCUGAAGAUGAUGAUCGCUGGUGGGACCGCAACGCCUCUUCUUCUCUCACUGCGAUGGCCAUCUUCUUCUAUAGCUUUAAUUAAUAGAAAUCUAAUGAAAAUGAUUUGAAAACUUUGAGUUUUAACGAUAAAGGCAAAAUAAAAUGUAAAGUGAAUAGUAUCAGGAUUGACUUUUUAGUGUAAAAAUAUGGUUUUUUGUUAAAGUGAACA